Molecule: long non-coding RNA, 3407 nt
Filed under: Homo sapiens (human)
Lineage: Eukaryota; Metazoa; Chordata; Mammalia; Primates; Hominidae
Description: HSALNT0340795
Source: RNAcentral
GUCUGUUGAAAGCAUCAACUAUCUUGGGAAAUGUCGUCUCCAGAUUUGAGUCAUGUUUUAGUGUAAUGUUUAAUCUUAUGUGAGGAUGUUGGAGAAACUACAGCAGGACACUAAGGAAUGAAGGUCAAAACCACAAAUGCAGGGAGCUAGAUGUAUCAUUAACUUUUUAAAUAUACUGAGUUAUAAGGUCAAAAAAUUACAGACAGAACUUCCAGCUUCUGCUGAUGGUGUAGGCAUCUGGAAAAUGUGUCUUUAUUAAAAUUACAUUUAAAAACGAGUGAUAUUCAGGGUCAUGACUUUCUGAACCCAUCAGAGAGCUGAAUUGCAGGGCAAUUAAAUAGUUUAAAAUGAAGGAAAGAGAGGUGCCUCCUACAAUAACAGAGAUGGGCUGCAAACAUUGGAUGACCUGUGGCAGAGCACGGAAAGAAGGCAAGGAUGACAGCUACAUGCAGACAAGGUCUCCAGAUUUGCCACCCAUGCUGAGUGCCGUGGUGUGAUCAUGGCUUAUUUCAACCUCAACCUCCCCCACUCAAGCGAUCCUCCUGCCUCAGCCUCUGGAGUAGCUGGGACUACAGGCACGCACCACCACACCCAGCCAUAAUUUGCCUCUUGCUGUAACUAAAAGGUCACAAAAACAAAGAAUUCUAAAAAAUCUUCUUCUUAAGUGGUAUGUUUAGUAUUUAUCAUGAUGACAAUGUUCUAAAUUGCACCUGCCUCCACUAGCAGAAUGCCAGGAUUACUGCCAGACAGAGAAUUCGGACUGCUGGUCCAGGGACAUAGCUAUGAAAUGCACCAAGGACAGCAGAGUGUGUUUUGGAGAAAGCCAGGUAGCUCUUGAUAGGGCCUAUAUGAGUACUUAUUCCUGCUGAUAGGAAAAAAAUGAUUAGAAAAAUCUCAUUUCUUUAUUCAUUUCUACUCUGAGAGCUUUUUACUUCUAGAAACACGGUCUUAGUUUUCUGUGUUAUUAUGUUUUUUUUUUGAAACUGACAAAAUUUCACAAUUAAUUUAUGUUCAUUCAAAUGUUUAAUAAUUAUACCUUGAAUUUGUCUUAUAAUUAGUAUUUUCUUGUUAUUUCCAACAAGAGAAAGUGUGCAGGAAAAGGGACUAGAUCAGGUUGAGAGAGCCAGGGGUGUUCAGUCAAGCAGGCAGAACUCAGGACACUGAACGGGGUGAGUAUGAGGCAGCCAGAGUCCCCAGACCCGCAGAGGAGGGUCCAAAGGACAGCUUUUCAUGAUCCAGGAAGGAAAUCUCCUUCAAUAACGUCUCUCCUUCAAGAAGCUGGGGGUGUCGCUGGGAUUUAACGUAGAGAUUCCAGUCUUAGAUUGAGGGAAGGAAGGGAGGCAAAAGGAAGGAAGCCUCGCAUCCUCAUGCGAAGAAGCCAGCUUGUAGAAAUGAAGCUCAAAAUGAUCCCUACAGCACAAGCAGUCCAGGGCAUGUGGACUCCUGCUGGGUUGGGGCCAGGACAGGAGAAGAAAGUUUGAUACAGGCCUGAGGCUCGGGAGCCCUGCACUGGCUGUGCGUCUCUACAACCAUCCCAGAGUCGGCCCAGGUACCAGGUCUUCUGGCUCAGAUAAAGAUCACACAUGACUCGCCUGAAAACUUGAGGCAGAGGUGUGCCAUUGUCACAAAAGGCGCUGUCAGGGUGGAGGCUCAGGGAAUGAUAGAGGAGCUCUUGAAUCACCCUGGAGAAAUUUUACCUCGGUCAGACAGCUACAGAGCCGACUUAAUAUUUUUAUUUAAAAUCUAGAUUAUUUGGGGGCUGGUUUGGAAAUGGGGGAGAUCUGUGAGUCCAGGCAUGGUAGCAGGAAGAGAAGAGGCUUCCUUGUAACCCUACUGACUCUUCCUCUCACUUGUCCCAAAAGCACAGGGUGAGAGACAAGAACAUUGGUACAGUGCGUUCAGGAAACUUUUCAACUUUUUAUGUGUAGUGUACCAAAAUAUUUUUUCACACAUGCAAAGACAGUGGUCAGGGGCUAUUCUGGCUUGUUAGAAAAAAGGAUGUGACGUUUUCCAGUCCCUGGGUGGGUCUCAGUUCUCUUAGAGGCUCUGCCUCUCACUCACACCUCUGCUAGAGGAAUGCGAGGAAGCUCUGACAAGAUUGUGAUCUGGGGACACGUUUGCCACCUCAGCGCCAAGGCUGACGUGGGGACAUGGGCUACUCAGUGAACGCACUUUACCCAGGAUACCAAGGGCACUUAAUGAUACCGACAGUUCUGUUUACAUCCUUCUCCACUGCCUCCAGCAUCAUUCAAGGCGUAAUCUCUUGGAAAAGUUUGAUUAGAAUGAAUUCUAGUUUGGCGUAGGUUAUUAUGCACCUAAAUUGGCUAAACUUAGCUUCAUAUAUCAAACAUAAGAUAUACAUCUCUAGAGAUGCGUCUGUGGAGACCUCCAUAGGCACCAGUAUAUAUUAUUCUAAGUUUUACCUCUUUUCUUGUGGAUUACUAACUUUGUGGUUCUCCCUUGAUUAGGUUUAUAUGCAAUUUUCUUAGAAAAUGUCAACUCCAAUUCUGCAACAUACUGAGCCCCUUUAUUGGAAACUUCAAAGUUCCUAGUCCAAUCCUAAUUCUAGAUCUUACUUCAUAUGUUGCUUUUAUCUUCUCUUGGGUAAUGGGUCAUUUCAAGGGUGAUUUUUUUGACUUUAUCUUAUUGGGGAUAUAAGUGCAGAUAAAGGAGAUACAGACGAGCAUUUAAUUUUUUUUUUCAGUGCAGUGAUUAUGGAGUCAGGGUAGUAUUUCUGCUGUGUAUGGUAAACUCCAUAGGAUCUCAUUUAUUCAUGGUUAAAGGCUUUCCUGGGGAAACCAGUAUGCUAACUUCAGGCAGAUAAUAAAACCUGAGGUAUAUGGAGAGUGUCUACUUUGACACAUUCAGGGCUAGCCCUCUCCUGCUGGUGCAGUUCAAUGUGAAUUUAGUCAUUUGUGGUCACUUAACAGCAAAGAGAUCUUUCUACAGAGUCUAGCUGUGCUGAUUAUCAAACUGGGGAAAAUUGAUGGCCAUUUGUUAUGGCUAAUAACACAGGUGCCGGUCAACUUUAUAAAAAUGUAGAAAAGUAUUUGCGGUGAAAAUUAUCCUAACCAUUGUGGAAAAAUGCCCAUCCCACUUCAAUUCAUAGCUGAAUACAUAUAGGAACUACAGUUCUCAGACCUGCAGUGAGUUCUGACCAAUGGAAUUCAGUGGGAUGAUAGAUGCUGCCUUUGAAGCCACCCCAUCAACUGGCUCAUCUCCUCCUGUCUCAGCUCUUUCUCCUGCUGCAUCCUGAUGCAGGACCACUGCACAACCUCACAAACCUUAUGUGGAAAGUAGUGGAGCCACCAGAUGUUAUGGGUAUCCUUUAAUGGAGAACUUUACACUACUUUGAAAUGACAGUUUUAUACUUUUCAUAAGAAAGAAAUAAACUUCCAUUGUACUAA